ACUUGGUGAUGUGGGAAUUUAGGCAAAAGGUCCCUAAAGCGUUCCCAUGUCUCGAAAAAUUGCUCAUCAUCUAUCUGUGAGAAACUAGUGAUUGCCUUCCUAAGCU
Molecule: small nucleolar RNA, 106 nt
Organism: Malania oleifera
Lineage: Eukaryota; Viridiplantae; Streptophyta; Magnoliopsida; Santalales; Ximeniaceae
Source: RefSeq, a predicted model, not a curated record